UGCCCCCAGCAGUGGGCUGAGAGAUGCCCUGUGGGUGGUGUUCUUAUCUCAGUCAGGGGCAGAGAAGAUGGCGGCCUUUGUUCAUCCUAGCUCAGUGUCUGGCUUGGUGGCCAAAGCUGCCUUAUGCCUAGGACUCAUAA
Rattus rattus (black rat) is the source of this 140-nucleotide small nucleolar RNA. RefSeq annotates it as small nucleolar RNA SNORA48. Lineage: Eukaryota; Metazoa; Chordata; Mammalia; Rodentia; Muridae. The record is from RefSeq and is a predicted model, not a curated record. The transcript has a single exon.